UAAGCCCUAGGAAAAGAAAAAGGAAAAGUG
This 30-nucleotide non-coding RNA is filed under the name Mus musculus (house mouse). Lineage: Eukaryota; Metazoa; Chordata; Mammalia; Rodentia; Muridae. The record is from RNAcentral.